This 361-nucleotide ribosomal RNA is filed under the name uncultured bacterium. Its description in RNAcentral is "bacterial SSU rRNA". It matches the Rfam family "Bacterial small subunit ribosomal RNA", at positions 917 to 1271 of the family's 1533-position model. The record is from RNAcentral.
GGGCCCGCACAAGCGGUGGAGUAUGUGGUUUAAUUCGACGCAACGCGCAGAACCUUACCCAGGCUUGACAUCCUCGGAACCUGAUGGAAACAUCGGGGUGUCCCCUCACGGGGAAGCCGAGUGACAGGUGCUGCAUGGUUGUCGUCAGCUCGUGCCGUGAGGUGUCAGGUUAAGUCCUAUAACGAGCGCAACCCCUAUCGUUAGUUGCCAUCAAGUAAAGUUGGGAACUCUAGCGAAACUGCCGGUGCAAACCGUGAGGAAGGUGGGGAUGACGUCAAAUCAUCACGGCCCUUACGUCCUGGGCCACACACGUGCUACAAUGGUCAGUACAGAAAGCAGCCACUAUGCGAAUAGGAGCUAA